This 68-nucleotide small nucleolar RNA is filed under the name Euglena gracilis. RNAcentral's name for it is "Eg-p14.2 AGAUGN box pseudouridylation-guide". The record is from RNAcentral. Lineage: Eukaryota; Euglenozoa; Euglenophyceae; Euglenales; Euglenaceae.
GGGGCACCCUCUGAGGCAUCCUGGAGGCGCUGGCUCUCUCCUGGGUGCAUGCUGUGGUGCCCAGAUGG